UGCGAUUUGGCCGUGGUUGAAAUUCAAAUCAUGUGCUUCCUCACCAGAGAGUUGGGUGCAUAAAGACAUCUGGUGCCGCCAAAAUAUGAAGGCGCAGGUGAAGAUGAUGGAUGAUGGCGUCCUGCGCUUCUGGUGAAGCAUGAUGUACACUAGGAAGAUACAUAGGGCAUGCCCUUUGCCAACCUUGGAUGGAAGCUUAGUGGAGUAGUUUCUUACAUAGUUCCUCUUGCUUUCAUCUCUUCUGUACUUUUCUUUUUCUGUCCCAGUUUCCUUUUGCGUUUAAUAUAUAUGGGUAUGUUUAUUCCUCAGUGGCCAGUAGGUUAAGGUGGAGAGCUGCAGUUUUUGUGCAGGCCCUCUGUAAGUUCAAUGUUGGGUCGCAGAUGAAUAAAGCUAUUCUGUUUAAUUUUCCUCUUUUCUUUGAGGUGUAAUUUUCCUUUCUUGUGGUACUUAUUGAUGGCGCAGUUCUGAACAAGAUACAUCUAUAUGUGCAUCAUUGCAUGUACUAAUAAGCAAUACAAAUGAAGUCCUACAGGGCAACUUUCUGUGUGUGUCCUAUGGAAUGGUUAAUUCCAAAGUAGCAAAAUAGUC
Molecule: long non-coding RNA, 588 nt
Filed under: Triticum aestivum (bread wheat)
Lineage: Eukaryota; Viridiplantae; Streptophyta; Magnoliopsida; Poales; Poaceae
Description: long non-coding RNA (TAES_LNC026020)
Source: RNAcentral